UACGAAGGGGGCUAGCGUUGCUCGGAAUCACUGGGCGUAAAGCGCGCGUAGGCGGAUCUUUAAGUCAGGGGUGAAAUCCCGGGGCUCAACCCCGGAACUGCCUUUGAUACUGGGGAUCUUGAGUUCGAGAGAGGUUGGUGGAACUGCGAGUGUAGAGGUGAAAUUCGUAGAUAUUCGCAAGAACACCAGUGGCGAAGGCGGCCAACUGGCUCGACACUGACGCUGAGGCGCGAAAGCGUGGGGAG
This 245-nucleotide ribosomal RNA is filed under the name uncultured Hyphomicrobiales bacterium. RNAcentral describes it as "uncultured Rhizobiales bacterium partial 16S ribosomal RNA". It matches the Rfam family "Bacterial small subunit ribosomal RNA", at positions 524 to 768 of the family's 1533-position model. Lineage: Bacteria; Pseudomonadati; Pseudomonadota; Alphaproteobacteria; Hyphomicrobiales. The record is from RNAcentral.